Long non-coding RNA from Myodes glareolus (Bank vole), 1237 nucleotides. RefSeq lists it as uncharacterized. Lineage: Eukaryota; Metazoa; Chordata; Mammalia; Rodentia; Cricetidae. The record is from RefSeq and is a predicted model, not a curated record.
GUUCACUCAUCCUCUGUCUCUGCCCUUCACUGCAGCCAUGACCAGCUGCUCGGGUUCCUGCAGACAGAGGAGCCUGGAACUGUGAGAGCACCGUAACUGGAGCAAGCAUAGCAGUAGCCCGAGUAAUCUGGAAGAUGGCAACCGCUAGCCAUUUCAGCUACAAACCAUGGCCAGGAGUUUACUGUGAGGCUAACUCCUUCACGUAGGCCCUAUUAAAAAAUAAUUGCCAUCUACCAGACUCCCUUCUUUUUUAUUAAACUGUCAUUAAUUACGGGUAACAACAACUUUCAUUUGGAUUUUAUGGAGUAAUUAUGAAAUAAACAUGGAGAACAUCAAGCUUCCUGUCUCACUGAAAGCAGGGAAUCUCCAUAAUGCUCCAUCCAUGAGGUGGCCACGCUGAGCUUGGCCUGACCUGGUUCCGCUCGCGGCUAACAACAGAUCUUCUGAGGGUUGUUACAUCAUUCACUGGGGUUGCUGCGUAAUUUGACCAUGACUACGUCUUGAAGUUUUCAUACUCCAGACACACUGUGGCUUCUCUGAAGCUGCAGCCAGCCGCAGAGUGACGCUUGCCUAGAGAGAGCUGACCUAAUGCUUGGAUUUUCUCUAGAAGGCAUAUCACCACCCUCUUGUGCUUUCAGAUACAAGACAAAAUUUGGGACUUGUUUAUGAAAAGUCAACAAAAAGCAUGAAACUUUAAAGAAAAAAAAGGCCCCAAAUGGACCCCUGGGGAGGACGCUUGUUGCUGGCAGUUGAAACAAGAGGGCAGAGCCCCACCCUCUCUGAGCUCAAGCUGUGGGCCUGCACGUUGACAGUGACAACAAAAUGCUUCAAGUAACAGCUCUGGGUUACAUGUAGGUUUUUAGUGAGAAGGCAAAUUUGUAAAAGCCCGAUCUACAAAUAACGUGGAGUGCCUAGGCUUUACACUGCCUGCUUUGCCAGUCACUUGCCUAUGAGCUACUCUUGCUUUUCUCUGCAGUCUUCCUCACUUAAGGACCAUCUCAGCCUACAUACAGCCUUUAUACAGCAGGGAGGGCUAGAACAUACACGAUGAUUCAAUUUGCCAAUAAAUUAAUUUCUAGAAAUCACCAAUUUAUGCCGGGAAGCGGUGGUGCACAUCUUUAGACCCAGCACUCAGGCAGAAACAGAGGUAGGCAGACAUCUGUAAGUUCAAGGCCAGCCUGGUCUUCAAGUUAGUUCCAGGACAGUCAGGGAUGUUAUGCAGAGUCUCUGUCUUGGA